CUACGCGUGGCAGCAGUGAGGAAUAUUGCACAAUGGGGGGAACCCUGAUGCAGCAACGCCGCGUGGAGGAUGACGCAUUUCGGUGUGUAAACUCCUUUUAUAUGUCAAGAAAAUGACGGUAGCAUAUGAAUGAGCACCGGCUAACUCCGUGCCAGCAGCCGCGGUAAUACGGAGGGUGCAAGCGUUACUCGGAAUCACUGGGCGUAAAGGACGCGUAGGCGGGUUGGAAAGUCAGGUGUGAAAUCCUACAGCUUAACUGUAGAACUGCACUUGAAACUUCUAAUCUAGAGUAUGGGAGGGGGAGAUGGAAUUAGUGGUGUAGGGGUAAAAUCCGUAGAUAUCACUAGGAAUACCUAAAGCGAAGGCGAUCUCCUGGAACAUUACUGACGCUAAGGCGUGAAAGCGUGGGGAGCAAACAGGAUUAGAUACCCCCGUAGUC
This 439-nucleotide ribosomal RNA is filed under the name uncultured bacterium. RNAcentral describes it as "partial 16S ribosomal RNA". It matches the Rfam family "Bacterial small subunit ribosomal RNA", at positions 339 to 795 of the family's 1533-position model. The record is from RNAcentral.